GUGAAAUCCUCGGGCUCAACUCGAGAAUUGCCUUCGAUACUGGCAAACUAGAGUGCCGGAGAGGAAAGCGGAAACUCUUGGUGUAACGGUGGAAUGUGUAGAUAUCAAGAGGAACACCGGUGGCGAAGGCGGCUUUCUGGACGCACACUGACGCUCAGGCGCGAAAGCGUGGGUAGCAAACAGGAUUAGAUACCCUGGUAGUCCACGCCAUAAACGAUGGGUACUAGGUGUCGGGGGUAUCGACCCCUCCGGUGCCGCAGUUAACGCACUAAGUACCCCGCCUGGGGAUUAUGGUCGCAAGGCUGAAACUCAAAGGAAUUGACGGGGCCCCGCACAAGCGGUGGAGCAUGUGGUUUAAUUCGACGCAACGCGAAGAACCUUACCUGGGCUUGACAUGCUUGGGACAGCGCUGGAAACAGCGUCUCUCAUUCGGGAGCCCUUGCACAGGUGCUGCAUGGCUGUCGUCAGCUCGUGUCGUGAGAUGUUGGGUUAAGUCCCGCAACGAGCGCAACCCUCGUUACUAGUUGCCAUCAGUUCGGCUGGGCACUCUAGUGAGACUGCCGGUGAUAAACCGGAGGAAGGUGAGGAUGAUGUCAAGUCAUCAUGGCCCUUACGCCCAGGGCUACACACGUGCUACAAUGGUCGGCACAAAGGGUCGCUAAGCCGCGAGGUGGAGCUAAUCCCAAAAAGCCGGCCUCAGUUCGGAUUGGAGUCUGCAACCCGACUCCAUGAAGGCGGAAUCGCUAGUAAUCGCGGAUCAGCAUGCCGCGGUGAAUAUGUUCCCGGGGCUUGUACACACCGCCCGUCAUAUCACCCGAGUCGGGGAUACCCGAAGUCCGUGACCCAACCAUUUGGAGGGAGCGGCCGAAGUGUGCAUGGUAAGGG
This 885-nucleotide ribosomal RNA is filed under the name uncultured organism. RNAcentral describes it as "bacterial SSU rRNA". It matches the Rfam family "Bacterial small subunit ribosomal RNA", at positions 594 to 1477 of the family's 1533-position model. The record is from RNAcentral.